RNAcentral lists this ribosomal RNA (433 nucleotides) under uncultured bacterium. RNAcentral describes it as "partial 16S ribosomal RNA". It matches the Rfam family "Bacterial small subunit ribosomal RNA", at positions 29 to 507 of the family's 1533-position model. The record is from RNAcentral.
AACGAACGCUGGCGGCAUGCCUAACACAUGCAAGUCGAACGAUCCCUUCGGGGAUAGUGGCGCACGGGUGCGUAACGCGUGGGAACCUUCCCUUAGGUUCGGAAUAACUCAGAGAAAUUUGAGCUAAUACCGGAUAAUGUCUUCGGACCAAAGAUUUAUCGCCUUUGGAUGGGCCCGCGUUGGAUUAGCUAGUUGGUGGGGUAAAGGCCUACCAAGGCGACGAUCCAUAGCUGGUCUGAGAGGAUGAUCAGCCACACUGGGACUGAGACACGGCCCAGACUCCUACGGGAGGCAGCAGUGGGGAAUAUUGGACAAUGGGCGAAAGCCUGAUCCAGCAAUGCCGCGUGAGUGAUGAAGGCCUUAGGGUUGUAAAGCUCUUUUACCCGGGAUGAUAAUGACAGUACCGGGAGAAUAAGCCCCGGCUAACUCCGUG